Molecule: ribosomal RNA, 444 nt
Filed under: uncultured bacterium
Lineage: Bacteria
Description: bacterial SSU rRNA
Rfam family: Bacterial small subunit ribosomal RNA
Source: RNAcentral
AUUGAACGCUGGCGGCAUGCCUUACACAUGCAAGUCGAACGGCAGCACGGGAGCAAUCCUGGUGGCGAGUGGCGAACGGGUGAGUAAUAUAUCGGAACGUGCCCGGUCGUGGGGAUAACGUAGCGAAAGCUACGCUAAUACCGCAUACGAUCUACGGAUGAAAGCGGGGGAUCGCAAGACCUCGCGCGAUUGGAGCGGCCGAUAUCAGAUUAGGUAGUUGGUGAGGUAAAGGCUCACCAAGCCGACGAUCUGUAGCUGGUCUGAGAGGACGACCAGCCACACUGGGACUGAGACACGGCCCAGACUCCUACGGGAGGCAGCAGUGGGGAAUUUUGGACAAUGGACGCAAGUCUGAUCCAGCCAUUCCGCGUGCAGGAUGAAGGCCUCGGUUGUAACUAGCUUUUGUUACGGAACGGAAACGGUAGGUAGCUCUAAUACAGUUUG